UUGAACGCUGGCGGCAGGCCUAACACAUGCAAGUCGAGCGGAUGAAGGGAGCUUGCUCCUGGAUUCAGCGGCGGACGGGUGAGUAAUGCCUAGGAAUCUGCCUGGUAGUGGGGGAUAACGUCCGGAAACGGGCGCUAAUACCGCAUACGUCCUGAGGGAGAAAGUGGGGGAUCUUCGGACCUCACGCUAUCAGAUGAGCCUAGGUCGGAUUAGCUAGUUGGUGGGGUAAAGGCCUACCAAGGCGACGAUCCGUAACUGGUCUGAGAGGAUGAUCAGUCACACUGGGACUGAGACACGGUCCAGACUCCUACGGGAGGCAGCAGUGGGGAAUAUUGGACAAUGGGCGAAAGCCUGAUCCAGCCAUGCCGCGUGUGUGAAGAAGGUCUUCGGAUUGUAAAGCACUUUAAGUUGGGAGGAAGGGCAGUAAGUUAAUACCUUGCUGUUUUGACGUUACCAACAGAAUAAGCACCGGCUAACUUCGUG
This 483-nucleotide ribosomal RNA is filed under the name uncultured bacterium. Its description in RNAcentral is "partial 16S ribosomal RNA". It matches the Rfam family "Bacterial small subunit ribosomal RNA", at positions 30 to 507 of the family's 1533-position model. The record is from RNAcentral.